This 494-nucleotide ribosomal RNA is filed under the name uncultured bacterium. RNAcentral's name for it is "partial 16S ribosomal RNA". It matches the Rfam family "Bacterial small subunit ribosomal RNA", at positions 28 to 507 of the family's 1533-position model. The record is from RNAcentral.
GACGAACGCUGGCGGCGUGCUUAACACAUGCAAGUCGAACGGUGAAGCGCCUUCCUUUUUGGUGGGUGUGGAUGAGUGGCGAACGGGUGAGUAACACGUGAGUAACCUGCCCCCUUCUUCUGGAUAACCGCAUGAAAGUGUGGCUAAUACGGGAUAUUCUGGGUCUGUCGCAUGAUGGGUCUGGGAAAGAUAUUGUUUCGGUGGGGGAUGGGCUCGCGGCCUAUCAGCUUGUUGGUGGGGUGAUGGCCUACCAAGGCGGUGACGGGUAGCCGGCCCGAGAGGGUGGACGGUCACACUGGGACUGAGACACGGCCCAGACUCCUACGGGAGGCAGCAGUGGGGAAUAUUGCACAAUGGGCGCAAGCCUGAUGCAGCGACGCCGCGUGAGGGAUGGAGGCCUGCGGGUUGUGAACCUCUUUCGCCAGUGAAGCAGGCCUGCCUCGUUUGUGGGUGGGUUGACGGUAGCUGGAGAAGAAGCGCCGGCUAACUACGUG